This is a long non-coding RNA of Syngnathus acus (greater pipefish), 2754 nucleotides long. RefSeq lists it as uncharacterized. The transcript is spliced from 3 exons. The record is from RefSeq and is a predicted model, not a curated record. Lineage: Eukaryota; Metazoa; Chordata; Actinopteri; Syngnathiformes; Syngnathidae.
UGCCGAAUCAGUAAACGGAGCAAAUUUCUCAAGCCAUGCGCUGACUCAGCAAAUAUGUGUGAAAGCAGUGUAGCACAACCUUGGGGCAGUGCAAAAAAGCAAAUGGGAAAGUAUAAGCAAUGACCUUCAACAAUCACUAUGUUUAGAAUGUGCUGUGUGCACGGAAUGCUGUAGCAAUGUGCAAGGCUGGUUAGCACCUAGCAUCCCUUAGCUUAGCAAGUCCAGUUGAAUUUGAUCUGGCCAGCAAGUGAUAACUGCAAAGGGUGUCCCCCGCUCUUCUGCAGCGUUCUUUGCACUUUGCUGCAUCAACACAAUCGAGGCGUAAUCGAAAUGAUGCGCUUGACUUUGACCUCUUCUCUCCUCGUCAGUGGGCGGGCCACCGCUUCUUAUGUUGGAGUCCUUAACAUUGCCAGACAAAGACAAAACCCCCCCAAGGCCAACUUUUCUGCCAAAAUAUUCACAAAGCGUAACAGUAGUGCAGAUGAUGCAAGUCAUUGCUAAGUAUUGACACAGCACUGGACUGUUUGGGAUGCUUUCAGGCAAUUCAAACCUAAAUAUAGUAAUUAUGAACUUUUUCAAGAAUAAAAAAAACCUUUCUAUACAAAUAAGAUUAAAUACUAAGGUCCUGUUAAGGCAAAACUACUGAAUGUGUUGGAUGAAAUCAUAAGGAAAGCAAUGUUAACUACUUUGUAAUUGUGCUUUAAGCUGCAGUGCGGUGUGCAAAUGCGCCUCUGAAAAUGCUGCAGUCUUCGUCAUGCCUCUCUGCCUCGCAGUGUGAUGCAAGGGCCUUGUUUUUUUUUUUCUCCUCGGUGAUGGAGUCCAGUUAGGCUUGCGGGAUAACAUUAUUUGGCAAAAUGCUAAUUAAAAAAAAAAGCCCUUAAUCAAUGCAUGAGAAGUCAACAUUUUAAAUGUCUGAUGCUUCUUUUUAUGUCUUACAGUAUUAUGAAUAUUAUUUCAUUUAAUUCAUGAUAUAUUUUUGGGCCCAAUCAGAUACAUUUGUUGUAUAUGGCAAAAGAGCAAUUUUUUUUGGUCCCAUUUAUUCAUUUGUUAUUUCCUCGUCCAUUCACCAUCCAAUAUGUUCUCGCCACUUUUCCAUUCCAGCCUCUUUGUCCUCUUGUCUUUUUGUGAAUGGAGCAGCUUCAUCACCUUAUUACAGGCUCCUUUUCGACUUGGCGGACAACAUUUUGCCCAUCAAGCCUCCUGCGCUACCGCCUACCCAAAUAAAGAAAGGAAAACACAAUUUGUAUUCUGGGCCAGCGUCUGGCAACGGGAGAGGCGAGUUAUUGGAAAGAGCUAGGGCUUGUUAAAGUCACACUUUAGAAGGAGCACUCUUGAUUUCUAGAUGGGCCCUCAGGUCACUUCUGUAAACAACAAAAAAAAUGUUUAUAAUCAUUGCAGGGAAUAGGCCUCCCAUUUUUAAUCAACUCAUCAGAGCCUUUCAGCAAGUAAUAAUUACAAUUGAUCGAGGUGAAAAUUGUUUGGACCUGUGCUGUUCUUAUUUCAGGGCAACAACAGGAAGUCGAUUUGAAAUAAGAAUUUCUAAACAGUAUUUCAACCAAUUUGACAGUGGAAGGGUAUUACUUUUUGUCAAUUAAAAAUGAGUUUUUCAGUUUUUUGAAACUUUUUUUUAUGCGUGUCCUCUCAUCAAAACUGCUGGCCGGUGCCAUCCUCUGAGGAAAAAAAUCAGAAAAUGCAGAAAAGAAAAUACGUAUGGGGCCACCUUGUUCGAGCGCUGCCGAUGCGUGCUAGACCGCCACUGACCUUGCAGCAGAAAGCGGCUAAUCUGUGGCGGCUCAUACACAAAGACACGCACUCGUACACAAAUGUGAGCCUCGGUCCGCGCCGGCCGCUCAGGACUGGCCUCGGGCCUGCUGGUGGCGAGCAGGCUUCUUACAAAAUGAGGGGAAGGAUGAAAAGAGGUCAGGGAAGCCCGAGUCGCUUUCACUUGUGAUACGCGGCCAUUCAUAAAGCUACAAAAGACGUGACUUUCAGCUCCGAGGAAUUAAGAAGACAACAAUGUCAAAAUGGAUUGUUUGACCUCUUCUGCUGCUUUUUGAAAAGGAGACCAAAGAAAGUGAAGGUAAAGCACUUUAAAUAUAUAUUAGAGUCAAGUCAACAUCUAAAACUUCUGCUUACUUUGAUCCAACUGCCUUUGCUUGCUUAUUAGAAUUGAUCAGAUAUGAUCAGAGUAAUCCUUUCAUCGCAACUAUUUGGACACAUCAUACAAGCUUUUUUUUUAAAUUUUGCAUAACAUCACUGUUCGUGUUCAGUCAUGACCAGAAUUCCAGCAGAGAUGAAGGCUUGAAAUCAAAUACAGUGACACCUUGAAGUUUGAAUGCCCCCCCAUUUGGAAUGCAACCAAAAUUGAGUGAAGAUGGACACUUCUAUGUUCUACUUUGAUAAAUCCGUGAUGUGACGGGUAAAAAAAACUCCAGUUUAACUUUGACAAACAGUCGAUUAGCAGCGGCGAGUCGAUGAGCUGGCAAUUGGGAAAGGUGCCGCCUGAUUUGAUAUGGUUUAUGGAUUAAAUGAAAUGAAGUGGUAAGGAAUGAAGGUCAGAUGAAUGCAGAGAAAGGACGACGCUGUUUAGGCAUGAGGAGCAGGACGUGCCAAAGCGAGGGAGGGAUGGAUGGACGGAUGGACGGAUUGAGGGAGGGAGGGAGGGAAAGCCUCCACGCCAAAUGCUUGUUUUGCUAGUUCAGCCUAAUCUCAGCUAUUGAGAUUAGCUGUCAUUCACACUCUUAGUUGAUGAUG